RNAcentral lists this ribosomal RNA (381 nucleotides) under Ototyphlonemertes lactea. Its description in RNAcentral is "partial 16S ribosomal RNA". It matches the Rfam family "Bacterial large subunit ribosomal RNA", at positions 1833 to 2532 of the family's 2925-position model. The record is from RNAcentral. Lineage: Eukaryota; Metazoa; Nemertea; Enopla; Monostilifera; Ototyphlonemertidae.
GCUUUUUGAAAUUUAAAAGUUUUUUCUGCUCAGUGUUUAUUAACAGCCGCGGUACUUUGACCGUGCAAAGGUAGCAUAAUCAUUUGCCUCGUAAUUGGGGGCUAGAAUGAAGGAAUAAACGAAAGUUUUUCUUUAUUUUAAAAAUAAAAAUAAUUUUCUUUCUUAGUGAAGAAGCUAAAAUAACAAAGGGGACAAGAAGACCCUUUUGAGCUUUAUUUAGUUUCUAUUUAAAUAAAUUAAAUUUGGUUGGGGCGACCGAGGAAUAUCUUCCUUUAUUAUUUUGAUCCGUUUAUAACGAUUAAAAGAACAAGUUACCAAAGGGAUAACAGCGUAAUUCUUUCUGAGAGUUCUUAUUAAAUGAAGAGAUUGCGACCUCGAUGU